ACCCUUCAUUUGGCAAUGAAUCCGUUCAGUAAGCAAGGAAAAGCUUUAGCAAUUCAAAUCCGUUUGACGACCCUCUAAGAAUGUUAUAAUGCGAUACGCCGUUUACAUUAUGUAAUAAAUUUACAGUAAAUGUGGCACUAGAAGAGUAUCGUUGGAUUUUAAAUGCAGGAGUACCCUGCAUACUGUGCCGUCGACGUCUGUUGCCACUCGUAACAACUACAGACGACUCAUCAAAGAAAUGCAUACGGUUGCAAUCAAUCAAUGGAAUAUUUGCUACGUAAGCUUCUAACUUCUCCAUAACGUCCGGCCGUUCUGUCUCUCGUGGAAUUUGACUUAUUAUCUUGUAAGAGUAACCAAGAUCUUUAUUCAAAAUUCUACUAAUGGAUGACCUGCAAGAUAUUCAGUGAAUGCAAUAACGUCACCUGUACGCGUGGUUCGAACAUCACAUUCGCUCUGAGGAAGAACAUUUUGAAACAUCAUCCUUCUGCAUCCUGAGAUCUACAUGUUUUUCAUGCAUGUGAUAAUCUCCACCUCAAGCAAUUUAAGCAUGAAUCAAUGACAGACGUCAUACAAAGUUUCUGAAGUUUCUACAAUAUUAAUGGACAAUGAUGAAGAUGAAUGUUAUAGAAAGUUCUCACCGCUGAAGAAAUGUAAAUCCAUUGCAUUGCCUUUCUGAUGUUGUCAUUUAAACAAGGCCUGUCCUCAAGAUUCCAAUGUGUGAAUUCAGAAAAUCUUUUUAUAGCUCGAAAAGAUCUAUCCUAAAAAUUAAGUUUUGUAAUAGUUUCAGUGUUAGCUAAAAAGCAAUAAAAUUAUAAGAUACACCAAACACACAUUGUGUGAAACUUAUAAAUAAAUUAUAAUUAUAAUAAUGAAAUGUUUUGACAAAAUAUAUUGUUCACUAAAA
Xenia sp. Carnegie-2017 is the source of this 904-nucleotide long non-coding RNA. RefSeq lists it as uncharacterized. Lineage: Eukaryota; Metazoa; Cnidaria; Anthozoa; Malacalcyonacea; Xeniidae. The record is from RefSeq and is a predicted model, not a curated record. The transcript has 4 exons.